RNAcentral lists this unclassified non-coding RNA (200 nucleotides) under Ascomycota sp. Its description in RNAcentral is "partial internal transcribed spacer 2". RNAcentral also lists the same sequence under 1 other name. Lineage: Eukaryota; Fungi; Ascomycota. The record is from RNAcentral.
UUAAGUUCAGCGGGUAUCCCUACCUGAUCCGAGGUCAAAAUUGUGAAGAUAGCUUCUGGGAGCCAAUACGACGGGCCCGAGUUCGCGUUUCUGCUGCGCUCGAAGCCAAUGUACCGGCCGCCAAUAAUUUUGAGGCGAGUCCACGCGCCCGGGGGCGGCGGACAGUCACCCAACACCAAGCUGAGCUUGAAGGUUUAAAU